CCUAGCAUGCAUUAUAUCCAUAAUAUACAUUAUAUUGCCAACAAUAUGAAUGCUGCCAUGGAAUUGGCCAAUCCUACAUGGAAAGACGAUAUUUAUAUGUGGCGUCGUUUAGUACCAACAUGGGUUCCAAGAACAUUAAACUGGGAUUUAUCUGGCUUUCUUGUUAUCAACUUUAUGCACGAUUGGAAUGGUAUAAGGUUACCCUGCAUUUGCACUAAUGGGAAUGACCUGAGGACCAAAUUCUUAGUAGAAU
RNA transcript from Zea mays, 253 nucleotides. RefSeq lists it as uncharacterized. The transcript is spliced from 3 exons. Lineage: Eukaryota; Viridiplantae; Streptophyta; Magnoliopsida; Poales; Poaceae. The record is from RefSeq and is a predicted model, not a curated record.